GGNGUGCUUANACAUGCAAGUCGAACGAUGAUGCUGGAGCUUGCUCCAGUUGAUUAGUGGCGAACGGGUGAGUAGCACGUGAGCAAUCUGCCCUUGACUCUGGGAUAACUGCGGGAAACUGUAGCUAAUACCGGAUACUUUCACCGGAAGGCAUCUUCUGGUGAUGAAAGAAUUUCGGUCAGGGAUGAGCUCGCGGCCUAUCAGCUUGUUGGUGAGGUAACGGCUCACCAAGGCGACGACGGGUAACCGGCCUGAGAGGGUGACCGGUCACACUGGGACUGAGACACGGCCCAGACUCCUACGGGAGGCAGCAGUGGGGAAUUUUCCGCAAUGGGCGAAAGCCUGACGGAGCAAUACCGCGUGAGGGAAGAAUGCCUACGGGUUGUAAACCUCUUUUAUCAGGGAGGAAUAAAAUGACGUGUACCUGAUGAAUAAGCAUCGGCUAACUCUGUGCCAGCAGCCGCGGUAAGACAGAGGAUGCAAGUGUUAUCCGGAAUUACUGGGCGUAAAGCGUCUGUAGGUUGUUAAACAAGUCAACUGUUAAAUCUUGAAGCUCAACUUCAAAAUCGCAGUCGAAACUGUUUAACUAGAGUAUAGUAGAGGUAAAGGGAAUUUCCAGUGGAGCGGUGAAAUGCGUAGAUAUUGGGAAGAACACCGAUGGCGAAAGCACUUUACUGGGCUAUUACUGACACUCAGAGACGACAGCUAGGGUAGCAAAUGGGAUUAGAUACCCCAGUAGUCCUAGCCGUAAACUAUGGAUACUAGAUGUUGAACAGAUCGACCUGUGCAGUAUUAAAGCUAACGCGUUAAGUAUCCCGCCUGGGAAGUAUGCUCGCAAGAGUGAAACUCAAAUGAAUUGACGGA
This 864-nucleotide ribosomal RNA is filed under the name uncultured bacterium. RNAcentral's name for it is "bacterial SSU rRNA". It matches the Rfam family "Bacterial small subunit ribosomal RNA", at positions 41 to 917 of the family's 1533-position model. The record is from RNAcentral.